Long non-coding RNA from Sardina pilchardus (European sardine), 421 nucleotides. RefSeq lists it as uncharacterized. Lineage: Eukaryota; Metazoa; Chordata; Actinopteri; Clupeiformes; Clupeidae. The transcript has 4 exons. The record is from RefSeq and is a predicted model, not a curated record.
UUCUUCACAACGACCAGAGACUGCUGCUCAGUGACGACUACAUUAGGUAGCAGCUGAGUUUCCUGUGAGGUGAGUGACAUAAGUGUGGAAUAAUGAACGGUGCAGACUGGCGCGGAAUGAUGUCACUGAUGUCUCGCCAUUUUAGACUGAACAGCGGCAGCACCAUCGUCUGACUGAACACAGGUGAGGGCAAGACGACACUUGCGGUGCUGGGACAAUACAUCAGGGUGUCCCCGUUGAAAUGUCAUCACCUGCAGAAACUCAGUCUGACCUCUGCGGGGGUAAAAAGGAUUCCAACCAAACUACAACAGAAGAGGUGAAACCAAGGCCAAAAUAUCCUAGCUUGGGUCAAAAGCCAGGUGGCUCAGACUUCUUAAUGAAAAGACUUCAAAAAGGGCAAAAGUACUUCGACUCGGGUGAU